This is a non-coding RNA of Nelumbo nucifera (sacred lotus), 1872 nucleotides long. Lineage: Eukaryota; Viridiplantae; Streptophyta; Magnoliopsida; Proteales; Nelumbonaceae. The record is from RefSeq and is a predicted model, not a curated record.
UUUGGGGAGUCGGAGACGGAGACGGAGAAGGUGCCCACCGGAGGGAAAUGAGAGCUGAAGCGAUGCGAGAUUGCGCGUUUUUGCUAACACUUCUCUUCCUUUUUGAUUCAAUUGUCCAGAUCCUUGGCCUUGGGCUCGGAAUCAACUACGGCCAGAUCGCGAACAACCUCCCUUCUCCUUCCCGAGUCGCCUUCCUCCUCGAGUCCCUCAACAUCAACAGAGUCAAACUCUAUGAUGCUGAUCCAAAUGUCCUCCAGGCAUUCUCAAAUUCGAACGUCGAGUUUGUAGUUGGUGUUGGAAAUGAGUAUCUUCUGAACAUGACGGACUCCAACAAAGCCCUGGCCUGGGUGAAGCAACAUGUCCUGCGCCACCUUCCCUGGACCAGAAUAACCUGCAUCACCGUCGGGAACGAAGUUUUAUCUGGUAAUGACACCCAAUUGAUGUCCUAUCUCCUCCCGGCAAUCCAUUCCAUCUACAAUGCUCUUGUUUCCCUUGGAAUGAAUGAUCGAGUGAACGUAACCACCGCUCAUUCUCUCUCCAUAUUAGCCAACUCCUUCCCGCCUUCCUCUGGUGCUUUCCGGCAAGAUCUCGGUGAAUACAUCCAACCCCUUCUCAAUUUUCAUUCCCAGAUCAAGUCUCCUUUCCUCAUCAACGCGUAUCCUUACUUUGCCUAUAAAGAUAACCCCAAUGAAGUCUCAUUGGACUACGUUCUGUUCCAGUCGAACCAAGGGAUGACAGAUCCAAAUACAAAUCUAAAAUACGAUAACAUGUUGUAUGCUCAAAUAGAUGCUGUUUAUUCGGCGAUCAAGAGAAUGGGGCAUACUGAUAUAGAAGUGAGGAUUUCUGAGACAGGUUGGCCUUCUAAAGGGGACCCUGACGAGGUAGGGGCCUCACCAGAGAACGCCAGGAUUUAUAAUGGGAAUUUGCUGCGCAGAAUAGAGGAGGGGCAGGGUACUCCAUUGAAACCAUCUAUUCCGAUCGAUAUUUAUGUCUUUGCACUCUUCAAUGAGGAUCUGAAGCCGGGUCCGGCUUCUGAGAGGAACUAUGGGUUGUACUAUCCAGAUGGAACUCCAGUUUAUGACAUUGGAUUACGUGGUUAUCUCGCAGAGAUGGUUUCUGCUUCUAAGACUAAGAACAUGUCCUUUUUGGGAUUUAUCAUCUUCAUCACAGCAUUUUUAAUCUGUGGUUGAGGAAGGCCUGCAAAUUAUGCAGUACUCGACAAAAGAGGGAGAGGUUGAGAAAAAGGAGGAGCUGAAUCAGAAAGCACUGAAAUUUUCCAACCUGUGAUUAUGAUAGGACAUCUGUGAGGGUAACCACAAUACCAGGAAUUUAUUUCAUGCCAAGCACCAAUUGAAGCCAAUUUCGUUCCGGUGCCGUUAUAUUCAAGAACCUUUCUAGUAACUUAAGAGGAGAGUCCAUCUUGUACAUCCGCCAUCCUGAAAUUGAGAAGCGAGGUACCAACACUUCAAUCUGUAAAAUAAUGAAACCAUCUACAGGCAUAAUAAGGGUAGGAUUAAUUCAUUUUAUUAAUGCGCGUCUAAUAAAUGGGAAAAGUUGGUCUAAUCCAUGACAACUUUAAGAACAUAAAGAUGGUUUCUCUUUGUAAUGUACUGAUCAGGAUAUAUGAGCACGGACAGUUUUAUGUGUAUAAUAAUUUUGUCUUUUAUUUAUUGGUGGCAAAAUGAGAGUGAAUAAGUGUCUAGUUUUGGGCUGAUGGGUCUGAAGUGAUCUUUUUAUUUCCGGUAUAUGUAACUUCAAUGCCAGAAAACAGCUGGAUAAGCUUUUGGGUUGUCAAUGGUAUCUGAAAUUUUGAAAUUCCAUUUGGAUUUUAAAAUCUGUAUGGAUAGAUUCUGCUUAAUAAUUGGAUUGAAC